This 4116-nucleotide unclassified non-coding RNA is filed under the name Dimorphilus gyrociliatus. RNAcentral describes it as "dgyrCDS10372". Lineage: Eukaryota; Metazoa; Annelida; Polychaeta; Dinophilidae. The record is from RNAcentral.
AUUCUGGAUUUACAAAUUCAGUGUCCAUAACCCUCUGGCGUCGAGAAACUCGAAACUUGACUCAAAAAGUUAAAUUACGGCAAGCGUCCUUCGUGGCAAGAAACUGGAAUUACAUGCUGAUGCAAGGUUAGUGGAAAAUAACUUUCAAAACCGAUAAAAUCGUUAUUUAUGAUAAGAAAGAAUAAUGCAUUGAUAUAACCUACAUCCCAGGAGCCCAAAAGAAUUAUUGACAAUUAUGACUUAAUUCUCAAUUGAUUAUAUUUCGUUUUGGGAGAUGUUAUAAACUAGUAUUUGUUUUAAGAUUUUUAUUGGCUUUAUUUAUGUUUUGCGUAAGCCGGAAGGAAAAAGUUCAAAAUAGGCUUAUCAUUAAAAACAAAAAUAAUGAGUCUCUUUAUUUGUCACGUGACUAUGGUAUAGGCAAUUAAAACAAUUAAAUAUAUAUAUAUAUAUCUAUAUAUACAUUAUAUGGCUUAAAGUAUUGAAAAUAUAACAAAGCUUUCCAUUUUAAACUGAAGGAUCCAAAAUCGUUCAUUUUAUUGUUUGGAUUUGUUGACAUUCCGAUUCAUUUCUUUCCCCAGAGCGAAUUCUAAACUACUGACAGAUAUCAAAUGGCGCGAAAGAAAUUCUAUAUUCAGAACGUUUAAACAUGCCUUCAAAGCGUGACUCUCUUUCGGAUUUUGCGGAAGUCGAAGAUAGCGAACGGCUCAUUAACGAUAAAACAGAAGAAUUGAGUAUAAGCGAAAAAAUUUCAACGGUUAGUAAAAAUUAUUAAUAAAUACGUUAAAGGAAGAAAAAACAAAGCCCCAAACGUUAUGUGAAUGGUUUUUUUAUUCUUUUUUUGGAAGGAAAUUUGCAUUCUGCAUUAUAUGUAACGCCCUAGCCAUUGGCAUACAUAUAUAUAUAUAUAUACUGUAUAUAUAUACAUAACUAUUCGCCUGUGGUAUGGGAAUCAUUCAUCUCACGUAACUUAUCAGGUGACGUUCGUGACGUUGAACAAGAGAAACUUAAAAGCGUCAUUUUUUCUUCCGAGGAGGAAAAUUUCCGAUAACUAAUAGAUGGCGCCAAAUGUUUAACCUCUUGUUUUUUUUAAAUGCUGAUGCCUGGAUAAACUGUACACUGUUCAUAUACCAUAUAUCACGCUCCGCCGAAAUAAUAAUCCUUCAACGGAUUGACAAUCUAAAGAAAAAGCAUAGAAUCUUUCAAUGAUAAAUUCCCUUAGGCCUGAGGCGGACCACAGAGGUGAUUAGUUGCUUUUGUUUCCCCAACUUCUCUCUUCCGAUUCUCAUAGAUCCAUCGAAAGUACAUUUCCACUAUGUUAUAGUCUUAAUAAAGUUAGUGCAAUUUCCGACAGCAAUUUUUAUAGUAUCAUCUUUUAUGCGUGUACUAUUCUACUUGAUAUCGUUUGGAUGUCUGGUCUAAAAUCUAAAGCAAAAAAUAACGGAUUUACAUCAUAUUGCCCCUAAUCAAGUAUUUUUUUCGCCGUAAUUUCGAUAAGCUUCAAACACUAUCGAAUAAAAUAUUUCACUGAUAUUUCUGCUUAUGCUGCAAAUUUUAACGACUCCGUUCCAUUUACUAUUAUUUAUACUGAUUUGUACUGCAAAUCGAUUUAUACACGUUCGUGCAAUAUGCACAGAUGUCUAGAAUCCUUUCACUCGGACAUUUCAUCAAAUGCAUAGUCAAUAUCGCAUAUCAGUUUGUAAAGGCCUCUUUAACUGUUCCCCCCUUAAAUAAGCGGUUUAUUAUUUGGCAUUUUACUGAAGAUUGUCAAGAUGGCUAAUUAGGGACGAGGACGCCUAAAACGAUUUCGUGCCCUGAAUAGUUUGGAGGUAAUUUAUAUUCUAUUUCAAAUGUUUUCUGUGGAAGAUUCUAUUGUAUUUAACAAACGAUGCUACUACAUCUGGGACGUUGCUUAUCCAAGCUAACGACGCUUGCCAAUAGGAAAAUCAGGCCACAGUCUAUUUCCUCCAUCACAUAGACACUUGACGGAAAGUGAUGAGAGAUAAAACUAACCAAUCAAUGUUUGCAUUUUGACUAAUUCUUCUUGUUGCGUAUAGUCUUUAAUACUAUUUUUUCAUUUUUAUUUCGUAAAUCGAUCGAGGUCGUUAUAGGUGUUUUAUCGACAGAUGGAGCACUUAUCAAGCCCCACUUAAGCAGUUGUUUAUAUUUAGAUAGCGUCACUACUUUAUUUAUUUAAAAAUUAAAAUUACAAUAACGCUUAAAAGAGUGUAGGUUAUUAAAGGCUAAUCUUCUUUUUAUUUCCGAUUUAUCUUUUCACUCAAGUAUAAACUAGAUCAUAUUAGAAAUGACGUAGUCACCUGUAACCUGAGGGGAUAAUUUGUUGGAUAGAACAAGCUAUUUUUCAUUUUCUUUUGAAAUAAUAAGCCUUUACUUUAUUUAAAAAGCAUACCGUGACACCAGCGCCUUACUUUCGCGACUCUCGGUUAACAUGAUGAAGUCGAGUUGUAAGAGCACACUUAUCCGUCCACAAUUCGCCAGUGCGGAUAGUCUGCACGAAAACCAAACGGACCAAGAACAGUGGAUUGGCCAAACUAGGAAUCCAGAUACAAUGACUAGUAAUAAAGUCAAUGUGCAGAUGAUUGUAACCGAUCAAGCAGGAGUUGAUGUCGAUAAAUUGCAAUAUAGGAGACCAGCUUAUGUAGCCGUUGGAUUUGUUCUAGCUUUAACUGCUUUCGUAGUUUUAUUUCCAGCAUUAGUUAACUCAAGAAUGCUUGGAAUGAAAUUUAAUGUGUUCACUAAGCGUAUCGGUCCAAGAUGUGAUGACUCAUACUGCAAGGUUGAAUUAGUGGAAAGCAUUCCGGAAAACGUGACUUUUAAUGAAACCGUAGCACAUUUGUCAACAUUCAACGCUUGGAAAACACUGAUCACAAAAGCAAAUAAAACUAUAAAAAUUGCAUCUUGCUAUUGGAGCCUAACUAGCAACGAUACGGGGCACUUUCACUUUUCUUCAGCUUGGCAAGGAGAAGAAAUAUUAAAAUUAUUAAAAAGAAGUUUGAGCGCAAGAAAGAUCAACGUCGAAAUUGUCACAGACGCGCAAAGUUAUAAUAAAAGUAGAAGAAAUUUAGAAGAGCUGGCGAAACUCGGUGCGAAAGUGAGACGUUUAGAUAUGAAAAAGCUUCUAAAUAGUAGUGGUAUCUUACACACAAAAAUGUGGAUUAUUGAUGAUAAGCACGCAUACGUGGGGUCGGCCAAUAUGGAUUGGAGGUCGUUGACAGAAGUAAAAGAAUUAGGGGUGCUAAUUACAAAUUGUUCGUGUAUGAUCAAAGAUUUAGUGAAGAAUUUUAUCGUUUAUUGGAAAUUGGCCGUUAAGGAUGCUGUUAUACCAGUUACUUGGCCAACUUCCUUGUCAACCUUGUAUGACAUAGAGUCCCCUAUGGUUGUGUCUUUAAGGGGUAUGAAGGAUAUUGCCAGACUGUUUUUUACAAAUUCCCCACAGUCUCUCUGUCCACGUGGUCGGACGAAUGAUAUCUACGCAAUUGUAUCCGUAAUCAAUAGAGCUCGAAAAUUUGUCUAUAUAUCCGUUAUGGAUUAUCAUCCCCUUAUUGAAUACCGUAAACCUGAAUUAUUUUGGCCAGUUAUCGACAAUGCACUUAGAAAGGUAGCUUUAGAGAAUUUCGUUGAAAUUCGAUUACUAAUAUCCAGAUGGAGGCAUACGAGAAAGGAUAUGUACCAUUUUCUCAAGUCUCUUAAAGCCCUCAAUGGAAUUGAAAAUGGUGCUGAUAAAGUGAAAUUUGAAGUAAAACUGUUUGAAGUUCCGGUAAGCAAAGCUCAAGAAAAGAUUCCCUACGCCAGAGUUAACCAUAACAAGUAUAUGAUCACUGAUAAUGCAGCUUUUAUAGGAACCUCAAAUUGGUCUGGAGAUUACUUCACUAAUACAGCAGGUACUUCGCUUAUAGUCAAUCAAACAAGAGCCGAUGGUACAAUAGAUGUCACUACAGUACAGAAACAGCUACUCGAUAUCUUUACUCGAGAUUGGAAUUCGCGUUAUGCCGUGUGGCUUUGAUAAUACGAGCAUAACAAUGCUAUUUAUCUUUUGUUACUGAAUUUUUAUCUGAUUUAUCAUAAAUAAGAAAUAUAAAUAAAUAAAUAGGAUAAACC